Molecule: ribosomal RNA, 372 nt
Filed under: uncultured bacterium
Lineage: Bacteria
Description: bacterial SSU rRNA
Rfam family: Bacterial small subunit ribosomal RNA
Source: RNAcentral
UACGGAAGGUCCGGGCGUUAUCCGGAUUUAUUGGGUUUAAAGGGAGCGUAGGCCGCUUUGUAAGCGUGUUGUGAAAUUUGCCGGCUCAACCGGUAACUUGCAGCGCGAACUGCAGAGCUUGAGUGCGCGCAACGUUGGCGGAAUUCGUCGUGUAGCGGUGAAAUGCUUAGAUAUGACGAAGAACUCCGAUUGCGAAGGCAGCUGACGGGAGCACUACUGACGCUGAAGCUCGAAAGUGCGGGUAUCGAACAGGAUUAGAUACCCUGGUAGUCCGCACGGUAAACGAUGGAUGCCCGCUGUUUGCACAUGGUUGCAAGCGGCCAAGCGAAAGCGUUAAGCAUCCCACCUGGGGAGUACGCCGGCAACGGUGAA